Molecule: ribosomal RNA, 253 nt
Filed under: uncultured bacterium
Lineage: Bacteria
Description: partial 16S ribosomal RNA
Rfam family: Bacterial small subunit ribosomal RNA
Source: RNAcentral
UACGUAGGGUGCGAGCGUUAAUCGGAAUUACUGGGCGUAAAGCGUGCGCAGGCGGUUCUCCAAGUCCGUUGUGAAAUCCCCGGGCUCAACCUGGGAACUGCAUCUGUGACUGCAUUGCUGGAGUGCGGCAGAGGGGGAUGGAAUUCCGCGUGUAGCAGUGAAAUGCGUAGAUAUGCGGAGGAACACCGAUGGCGAAGGCAAUCCCCUGGGCCUGCACUGACGCUCAUGCACGAAAGCGUGGGGAGCAAACAGG